GGGCAUUUGGUUUAGUGGUAUGAUUUUUGCUUUAGGUGCAAGAGAUUCUGAGUUCAAUUCUUAGAAUGCCCU
Molecule: transfer RNA, 72 nt
Filed under: Ipomoea nil (Japanese morning glory)
Lineage: Eukaryota; Viridiplantae; Streptophyta; Magnoliopsida; Solanales; Convolvulaceae
Rfam family: tRNA
About the family: Transfer RNA (tRNA) molecules are approximately 80 nucleotides in length.
Source: Rfam by way of RNAcentral